This 329-nucleotide unclassified non-coding RNA is filed under the name soil metagenome. RNAcentral's name for it is "partial contains 5.8S ribosomal RNA, internal transcribed spacer 2, and large subunit ribosomal RNA". The stretch from base 1 to 120 matches the Rfam family "5.8S ribosomal RNA", at positions 35 to 154 of the family's 154-position model. The record is from RNAcentral.
GAUGAAGAACGUAGCGAAAUGCGAUAAGUAGUGUGAAUUGCAGAAUUCAGUGAAUCAUCGAAUCUUUGAACGCACAUUGCGCCCCUUGGUAUCCCGAGGGGCAUGCCUGUUCGAGCGUCAUUUCACCACUCAAGCCUGGCUUGGUGUUGGGCGACGUCCCCUUUAGGGACGCGCCUUAAAACGCUCGGCGGCGUGGCACCGGCUUUAAGCGUAGCAGAAUCUUUCGCUUUGGAAGUCGGGGCCCCGCCUGCCGGAAUACCUACUCGUAAGGUUGACCUCGGAUCAGGCAGGGAUACCCGCUGAACUUAAGCAUAUCAAUAAGCGGAGGA